UUGAUCGAUGUUGUCAAGGUA
Molecule: non-coding RNA, 21 nt
Filed under: Caenorhabditis elegans
Lineage: Eukaryota; Metazoa; Nematoda; Chromadorea; Rhabditida; Rhabditidae
Source: RNAcentral